Molecule: ribosomal RNA, 367 nt
Filed under: uncultured bacterium
Lineage: Bacteria
Description: bacterial SSU rRNA
Rfam family: Bacterial small subunit ribosomal RNA
Source: RNAcentral
GGAGGGUGCAAGCGUUAUCCGGAUUCACUGGGUUUAAAGGGUGCGUAGGUGGGCAAGUAAGUCAGUGGUGAAAUCUCCGGGCUUAACCCGGAAACUGCCAUUGAUACUAUUUGUCUUGAAUACUGUGGAGGUCAGCGGAAUAUGUCAUGUAGCGGUGAAAUGCUUAGAUAUGACAUAGAACACCAAUUGCGAAGGCAGCUGGCUACACAAAUAUUGACACUGAGGCACGAAAGCGUGGGGAUCAAACAGGAUUAGAUACCCUGGUAGUCCACGCCCUAAACUAUGGAUACUCGACAUUUGCGAUACACAGCAAGUGUCUGAGCGAAAGCAUUAAGUAUCCCACCUGGGAAGUACGAUCGCAAGAUUG